Molecule: long non-coding RNA, 1249 nt
Organism: Photinus pyralis (common eastern firefly)
Lineage: Eukaryota; Metazoa; Arthropoda; Insecta; Coleoptera; Lampyridae
Exons: 3
Source: RefSeq, a predicted model, not a curated record
CCACACGUCCUAGCCUAGCCUAAUCAAAAGAAUAGCAGAAACUGGGCGUGAGGGCUUAAUCCAGUUCCUUCUUUAGGUACUAGUAUAGACGGGGUAUUAAUUAAUGUAGAAGGAAGGAAAUCUGAUGAUUUCAAAGACGACCACUUCCGUUAAAAAUAACUGAAUAAAUACUGGAGCCGUUGUUGUGAUUCGAUAGUUGGAGAGAUUUACAAUGAGUGCCCCAGUACUAGCGUGUUCCUUAACAAAAGCGUGCAACUGCAUCCAGGAUGGAAAUUGCACAUGUGCCCCUGGACACUGCCACUGCAACUGUGGAUCAACCGAGGGUAGCAAAUGUGAAGCCAAAUGCUGCCCAAGUGCAGAAAAAUGCAAAUGUUCCUCAGGCGGCCCUUGCACUUGUGGGGACAACUGUUCCUGUGCGGAUUGCAAAUGCAAAAGUGGUUGUAAACGAUCCGAUUCUCAUGGGGGUGCUUGCACGCGUACUUAACGCAACGAUUCUGGUCUGUUUAAUGAAUUCAUUAUUGUUUAUAUCAUGUAAUAAUCCAAAAGCGGAACUUGUAUACCAAGCUAAUACAAACUGCAUUACAAGAUUUAUAUAAUUUAUGCUGUAUUAUUUUCUUCAUCUCCUAACCAGUUAAUUAUGCUCAGAUUGCGAAUAUUAUUUGCCAAAAACUGAAGUCAUCGAACACAAGUUACGCGAUAAGGAUUAUUGUUAUAUUAGUCCCUACCUUUAUUUGCUGCAGUAAAGAUUACACAGUGUUUAUCAGGUCCGUCUGGUAAACCUCUAUAAGAAAGUUAUUUCCACCUAAAAAUUUAAAUAAACAACAUUAUCAAUAUACUUCAGCAUCGUUUAUCAAGGUAGACUAAAUAAUAAAACCAGUUACACUAAUGCGAUUGGUUGGUUUCAGAUGUCCAGAAAAUAAUUGACAUUUGACAUCUUUAAGUACUUAUGUAAGUAAUUAUGAUAAAACAUUCACUCCAUUUUGAUUAACAAGUUCAAACGCACUUGUACUCGUAUCUACCGUAUAAGAAUUUUGCAUGAAAUCCAGACAUUGGGACUGUUCAUAGAUCCAACCAAGUUAUCGACCAAAACUAGCUCUAGAUUUGUGGACGUGGUGGAAGGUUUGCAGGCACAUGAAGUCAGCAUCGUCAGUACUCGUUCAGUAAAAUAGAAUAGCGUUAUAGAUAUCAUUUUGUGUAUUUAAUGAAGUUUCGUGCUGCCCAAUUUAUCAGGAUAUCAAAAAAAUUAGUA